This 211-nucleotide long non-coding RNA is filed under the name Phoenix dactylifera (date palm). RNAcentral describes it as "long non-coding RNA (PDAC_LNC008565)". Lineage: Eukaryota; Viridiplantae; Streptophyta; Magnoliopsida; Arecales; Arecaceae. The record is from RNAcentral.
UUUGGCAAUGAAAGGGUGAUGGCUUGGAGGGCCACUAAGAGUAGUAGUAUGCUAGCCCAACCCAUUUCCUACGUCCUUGUCUUUCUUUGUAUUUGCUCGGAUCAAUCAAAGGUGUUCAGGGAGGCGGAAGACAAAAGAGAGGUGGUGGGUUGCGACAUUUAGAAGGAUUUAAUGGGGUUCGGGGGUUUUGCACGCAAACAGCGAAUAUUGG